This is an RNA transcript of Jaculus jaculus (lesser Egyptian jerboa), 1599 nucleotides long. It is a transcript of the gene named SRY-box transcription factor 2, with no coding region annotated. NCBI's taxonomy places the organism in Eukaryota, Metazoa, Chordata, Mammalia, Rodentia, Dipodidae. The record is from RefSeq and is a predicted model, not a curated record. The transcript has 3 exons.
AUGUACAACAUGAUGGAGACGGAACUGAAGCCGCCGGGCCCGCAGCAAACUUCGGGGGGCGGCGGCGGCGGAGGUGGCGGCGGCGGUGGCGGUGGCGGCGGCGGCGGCAAUGCCACGGCGACGGCGGCGGGAGGCAACCAGAAGAACAGCCCGGAUCGCGUCAAGAGGCCCAUGAACGCUUUCAUGGUGUGGUCCCGGGGACAGCGGCGUAAGAUGGCCCAGGAGAACCCCAAGAUGCACAACUCGGAGAUCAGCAAGCGCCUGGGCGCCGAGUGGAAACUUUUAUCGGAGACGGAGAAGCGGCCUUUCAUCGACGAGGCCAAGCGACUGCGCGCCCUGCACAUGAAGGAGCAUCCGGAUUAUAAAUACCGGCCCCGGAGGAAAACCAAGACGCUCAUGAAGAAGGAUAAGUACACGCUGCCCGGGGGUUUGCUCGCCCCCGGCGGGAACAGCAUGGCUAGCGGGGUCGGGGUGGGCACCGGCCUGGGCGCGGGGGUCAACCAGCGCAUGGACAGCUACGCGCACAUGAACGGCUGGAGCAACGGCAGCUACGGCAUGAUGCAGGAGCAGCUGGGUUACCCGCAGCACCCGGGCCUCAACGCGCACAGCGCGGCGCAGAUGCAGCCCAUGCACCGCUACGACGUGGGCGCGCUGCCCUACAACUCCAUGACCAGCUCGCAGACCUACAUGAACGGCUCGCCCACCUACAGCAUGUCCUACUCGCAGCAGGGCACCCCCGGUAUGGCGCUGGGUUCCAUGGGCUCGGUGGUCAAGUCCGAGGCCAGCUCCAGCCCUCCCGUGGUUACCUCUUCCUCUCACUCCAGGGCACCCUGCCAGGCCGGGGACCUCCGGGACAUGAUCAGCAUGUACCUCCCCGGCGCCGAGGUGCCGGAGCCCGCCGCGCCCAGCAGACUGCACAUGUCCCAACACUACCAGAGCGGCCCGGUGCCCGGCACGGCCAUCAACGGCACACUGCCCCUGUCGCACAUCGCGGGUCCAAGCCGGUAGUUCCAAAUCGGAUAAUGUGUGCAGCUGGUAACAAGGAAAAGAGAAGCCAGGCACCAGCCCUAUUACAGAAGAAAACAACUCAGAAUGCCACCAUGCAAGUUUUGUUUUCCCUCAGAGAACGGACUUCUCUUUGGAGUUCCAGUUGGGGAACUCAGUAUGUGAAGAUGGUCAUCAAGCCAUUGAAACUAGCAAGAGAGAUGAUUAAGAACAUUUCUGUCUUGGCCUCCACCCCAUUUCUGCCUUUGACAUAUUCCCCUUUUCCCAACUGCUUGGGAGCAAAGCUGCUGAUUGUUCUGCAAAGGAGGAACCGUUCCUUUCAGCUGACUCCUCUGUAAAACUUGGAUUCGAAGUAGAACAUAUGCUUUUGGGGGUGUAGAUUGUGAGGGUGACUGGGGAAGAGCUGAUGUAUGUGUUGAUUCAUCCUUCCACUUCCAGACCUCUGUGACGCACCUUCUCAACGACAUUCAGUCUCUCAUCUCCACAAAGCCUUUUAUAGUAUCCAGACCUCAUAUGAAUAACUUGGAAGUUCAUAUAUAUAUAUUAGGGCUGGUAUCUGCCUCUAGCUCCCUCUAAUAUUUUUUUUUUUUUUUU